GAACCUUACCUGGGCUCGAACGGGUAGUCAACGGCGGUGGAAACAUCGCUACCCCGCAAGGGGGUCUAUUCGAGGUGCUGCAUGGCUGUCGUCAGCUCGUGUCGUGAGAUGUUGGGUUAAGUCCCGCAACGAGCGCAACCCUUGUCCUGUGUUGCCAUCAUUCAGUUGGGAACUCGCAGGAGACCGCCAGCGAUAAGCUGGAGGAAGGUGGGGAUGACGUCAAGUCCUCAUGGCCUUUAUGUCCAGGGCUACACACGUGCUACAAUGGACGGUACAAAGCGCAGCGAACCCGCGAGGGGGAGCCAAUCGCAAAAAACCGUUCUCAGUUCGGAUUGCAGGCUGCAACUCGCCUGCAUGAAGCUGGAAUCGCUAGUAAUGGCAGAUCAGCACGCUGCCGUGAAUACGUUCCCGGGCCUUGUCACACCGA
RNAcentral lists this ribosomal RNA (427 nucleotides) under uncultured soil bacterium. Its description in RNAcentral is "bacterial SSU rRNA". It matches the Rfam family "Bacterial small subunit ribosomal RNA", at positions 966 to 1393 of the family's 1533-position model. The record is from RNAcentral.